Molecule: non-coding RNA, 197 nt
Organism: Zea mays
Lineage: Eukaryota; Viridiplantae; Streptophyta; Magnoliopsida; Poales; Poaceae
Source: Rfam
AUAUCUUUCUCGACCUUUUGGCUAAGAUCAAGUGUAGUAUAUGUUCUUAUCAGUUUAAUAUAUGAUAUGUAGGCCAUGUGUCUACUUCAAUAUUAAAUUAUUUUGUUGUGGGGAAGGUUCCACUACAGUGGCUUGCCAUUGAGGCCUUUAUGUGUCGCUCGGGCGUUGCACUAUUGCUUCAGCCUGGCGCACCCUAA